GGCCUUUUGAAUUUAAUAUAAGGUCUGACCUGCCCAGUGAUGAUUUUAACGGCCGCGGUAUACUGACCGUGCAAAGGUAGCAUAAUCAUUAGUCUUUUAAUAGAGGGCUGGAAUGAAAGGUUUCACGAGGAACUGGCUGUCUCAUUUUAUUUGUUUUAAAAUUUAAUUUUUUAGUUAAAAAGCUAAAAUUUUAUUGGUAGACGAGAAGACCCUAUAGAGCUUUACAUAUGAUUAAAUAAAUAUUUUUAUAUUAAUAUUUUUAUUUAUUUUUGUGUUUUGUUGGGGUGACAAAAAUAUAUAACUAACUUUUUUAUUUACUUUACAUUGAUUUAUGAAUAUUAGAUCCAAUCUUAUUGAUUAUUAGACUAAGUUACCUUAGGGAUAACAGCGUAAUCCUCCUCCAGAGUUCAUAUUUACAGGAUGGGCUUGCGACCUCGAUGUUGGAUUAAGAUAAUAAUUGGGUGUAGCCGCUUAAUUGAUAGGUCUGUUCGACCUUUAAAUUCUU
RNAcentral lists this ribosomal RNA (505 nucleotides) under Orthetrum triangulare. RNAcentral's name for it is "partial 16S ribosomal RNA". It matches the Rfam family "Bacterial large subunit ribosomal RNA", at positions 1819 to 2597 of the family's 2925-position model. The record is from RNAcentral. Lineage: Eukaryota; Metazoa; Arthropoda; Insecta; Odonata; Libellulidae.